Myotis brandtii (Brandt's bat) is the source of this 964-nucleotide long non-coding RNA. RefSeq lists it as uncharacterized. The transcript is spliced from 5 exons. The record is from RefSeq and is a predicted model, not a curated record. NCBI's taxonomy places the organism in Eukaryota, Metazoa, Chordata, Mammalia, Chiroptera, Vespertilionidae.
AGCUCAAGCCUUUCUAAAAGGGAUUUCUUUACCUGUUCAUUUACUACUAGGCACUAUCUUUGAAAAAUGCCGGAAAGAGGAGUCACAGUUUAGAUAACAGAAAAAAAAAGUUAUGGAGAAAAUUGACAGCAAUGUGAGUUUAAAUAGAACGUGGCAGCCGGGCCAGAGAAUGAAGCAGGAAUUAGCACCAUGGACAGAGACUAGCAGAUCCUGAACAGAGGAUGGCAAAGUCUGAUAGUGUUUUCGGCCCCUCCCUGGAGACGCGGAAACUGGAAUUCUUGGGAAGGAUUCAUUCCACAGACUUUAAGGACAAAGCUGUCCUACUCAGCGGACCCACGUUUGUUUUGACUUGGGCUGGCUUUUGCUAGGACCCGGCCAUCGUGACAAACCGCCAGGAGGGUAAGAGCCGGGAACUCGCUGCACACCCUCCACGGUCCCCUGGCCAUACACCCCCUUGCCCCGCUGAGCCUGCCGGUCAUCACAGUGGUCAGGCAAAAUAAACGCAAAUCCAGGUAGUCAGCCAAAAGUCUGCUGAAGUCCUCGAAAUUCCCAGCGAGCAUCGCAACAAAAAACGCCUACUCUCGCACCCUUGCUCCCCUCCCCCCACUCUUCUCCCGGCUCCCGCCGCCUCCCGGCCGAGGGGCCAAGCCUUUUAUCCGAAGUAACUUUUAGCCGGAUAAACUCGCGUCUUCCCAGAGCUUCAAAGGGCGGUGCAGGCGACCAGAUCAAACCCUUGCCCCACAGAGCAAGUGUCCGCACGGGGGCACGGGGACAAAGGCGGAGUCUGGAUCAGGAGAAGACUGAGGCCCGGGGAGACACCGCGGCGAGAGAAACAGCUGUCUUAUCAGCCCGCUGCAGAGAUGGAGAUGGCUGGAGAGGUCCUCAACAGAUAAUCACUUGAAUAGGAAGAAGAACAAGCAAAAAGAAUAUUUCAGAAUAGCUGCCAUUGCAGUACUAUUUAUUG